UACGGAGGGUGCGAGCGUUGUCCGGAAUCACUGGGCGUAAAGAGCGUGUAGGCGGCCAUGUAGGUCCGGUGUGAAAACUCGAGGCUUAACCUCGAGAUGUCAUCGGAAACCAUUUGGCUAGAGUCCGGAAGAGGAGAGUGGAAUUCCUGGUGUAGCGGUGAAAUGCGCAGAUAUCAGGAAGAACACCGGUGGCGAAGGCGGCUCUCUGGGACGGUACUGACGCUGAGACGCGAAAGCGUGGGGAGCGAACAGG
RNAcentral lists this ribosomal RNA (253 nucleotides) under uncultured bacterium. RNAcentral's name for it is "partial 16S ribosomal RNA". It matches the Rfam family "Bacterial small subunit ribosomal RNA", at positions 524 to 776 of the family's 1533-position model. The record is from RNAcentral.